Molecule: long non-coding RNA, 24470 nt
Filed under: Vitis vinifera (wine grape)
Lineage: Eukaryota; Viridiplantae; Streptophyta; Magnoliopsida; Vitales; Vitaceae
Description: long non-coding RNA (VVIN_LNC000326)
Source: RNAcentral
AUUUAGCCCUAGGGGCUCUCAGAUUUAGCCCUAGGGGCUCUCGGAUUUAGCCCUAGGGGCUCUCGGACUCUAGCCCAGCUUUUGGGUUCCUUUUUUUUUUUUUUUUUCUGGUGGUUGUGACAACACAUCUGUGGUGUGAUCUUGGAGUUUUCUUUAGGUUUCUUCGCUUCUAGGCUCUUGGAGAUCUUCGAUUAUUUGGAGGUUUGUUAUCAGAUUUAGGCUCUUUGACGAUGUUUUUUUUUUUUUUUUUUUGUUUCCUAGACUAUUUCUGUCUUCAUAAUGUUUGGAGAAUAUUCUAUUGUUAGUUUCAAUGGCAAAAACUAUCUUAGUUGGGAGUUUUAGUUUAAGAUGUUUGUGAAAAGUAAGAAGCAAGACAGAGUCUCUAAGUCAUCUACGGAAUCUGAGUACCGGGCGAUGUCUCUUGCUUGUUCUGAAAUCAUUUGGCUUCGAGGUUUGCUUGCGGAGUUAGAUUUUUCUGAGAUCGAUCCUACACCUCUACAUGCCGAUAAUACAAGUGUUAUUCAGAUCACGACCAAUCCUGUCUAUCAUGAGCGCACAAAGCAUAUUGAAGUGGACUGUCACUCUAUCCGUGAAGCCUUUGAAGCUCGUGUUAUCACUCUUCCACAUAUUUCCACUGACUUACAAAUUGUUGAUAUCUUCACCAAAGCUCUCCCUCGUCAUCGACAUUGCUUGCUAAGUAGCAAAUUGAUGCUUGUUGAUCAACCUGCAUCAAUUUGAGGGGGGCUGUCAAAGGACAGCUUUGCUGUCCACACUUCUUUCCUUAUUUUAACCCACACUUCUUUCCUUAUUUUAGCCUACAAUUGUUUCCUUAUUUCUCCAUUUAUUAUUCUAUACAGUUAGCAUAUAUUAUGUGACAGAUUAUAGUUUAGAUGUAUAGAACUAGAAUCAUGAGGGAAUUUAUUUGCUUUUAUUUGCUUUCCAUGUAUAGCAUCCUUGUAAAGGUAUUCGGCCAUUCACACAAUAUUUUGACAAAUUGCUCAUGCAUGAGCUUUCUGUUGAAUACAGGAGAUGUACUACUCAACAAAAAGGCAGCAGUUCUUGAUUGAUCAAGGUUAUAGCUUUAAGGUACUUGCUUUUAUUAUUUUAUUAUUGAACUUUGCACCUUUUUCCAGACAGAUCACUUUCUGCCAUCGGCGGGGAUAUUGUCACUAUGGCCUAGAGCUAGAUAUACCAUUAAACAUGCCACACUUUUGUUUGUUACACUCUGGAAUGGUUUCCCAGUGUGAUCGGGCAGCGUGGCAUUUGAUGCUUAGCAGUUAAAAUGAAGUUAUAUAAGUUGAGGAAAACUUUUUCUUUCCAUUUUCUGUUAUAUUUAUCUCAUUUUUAAUACCUUAUCCUAUUUAUGAACGCCUUCAAUAAAAUGUGGCAAGAUAUCAAGAAUAGUGAGCCAGCUACAUCUCUGGCUGUUCCUUCAUGAGCUCAACUCCUUUUGCAAUAGUUGUAGUUAUGUGUGUUCUGUAGGAAACUUCCAUGGUCAGGAUGCUAAUGUAUUUACAGUGUUUUGUCUUCCUCUUCUUGGAGGUCAUAAUCGGCACAAUUAUGCUCAUUUUCCCAAUUAUACUGACAGAUAAUAACAAGCUUGCCUCCGCCUGAUUCUGGCGCCGAUCUGAGCUACCACCGCCUGGAUGAGCAACUGGCACUUCUUGGAAAGGUUUCACUUCUAGUGCCCUUUGCACUUCAAGCAUUAUUAACCGAGCUAGAAAUUUCUGAACUGUUUUGGACCACAGGUAUUAAGUGCAGGUGAUGAUGCAGUUGGUCUAGAGCAAUUAGAUGAAGAUGCAGAUGACAUAGCACUCCAAAAAGCUCGUCGAUCUGUGGGAUCCAUGAGUGCCAUGUCUGGUGCUAGUGGGAUGGUUUACAUGGAAUACAAGUAUGGGUAUCCCUUCGUGUCCUGCUUCACUUUUUUAAAUUCAACACGGAAAAAUCAGUCUACCACUCUUUCAUAUGGCUCUUAACUUGCAUGGUGUUUACUCUACUUUUCCUUUACUGCAGUACUGGACGCAACAAACAUGGUGGGCAGGGCCAGAUCAAGGGUAAGCCCAAGGAUCCAUCCAAGAGACAUCAUUUAUUCAAGAGACGCUUUGGCUGAGAGAAAUAUGACUAAAGAACCAUCCACAAUGAUGGGCUCCCUUUUAGUAAUAAUAUAUGAUGCCAAGAUGAGUAGGCUUUUUGUAUAUUUCUCAAAACAGAGUGCCUGUGUUGAGUCUACCACCCCUUGAAACAAACAGAUCACCAGAGAACCACGAAUCCAGUGCUCCUUAAGAAGAGAGGUGCUGCAUGGGAAACUGGUUUUAUAUAAAUUUUGUUUUGAUUGGAAUUGCAUUGUUUUGCUGACAAAUACCUCUGGUUUAAACCUAUGUGAACGUGGAGAUUUUUUUUUUCCAAAAAAACAAAAAAAAGAAAGAAAGAAAGAAAGAAAAGAAAAUUGGACUGGUUGUGCAGAAAGUAGAUUGAUUCUGAACCAAUAUUUUCAGGUGAUUAUCCUAUGUUGAAUCUUCCCAAUGUGUGUUUUCAAAUUUUAAUAAAUAUUUUAGUGUUAGCAACAAAAUAGAAAUAUAGCUUAAUCAUUCAACAGGGUCUACGAGGAAAGCAGCGUUGUGCUGGAUUUUUCUAUUUUGAAUGUUCUCUCCCUUCUCUCGUUUAGUUAUCUUUCUAGGGGGUAAAUGUUUUGAAAUUUCUGGUUGGAAGGGUUUGUGGUUCUUUCAAAAUUUUUAUUUGAAUGGGGCAAAAAUUUGAUUAACUAGAAGAGGGAGGCCCUCACAGCCAAAGUCAACUUUCCUCAUCAAGACAGAGUCGGUCCCAGCUGAAACUCUGGAAAGGAGUCAUAAGGGUUUCUCCGUUUGUCUUCUUAUUUUCAUAAGCAAUGAUGUUUGGUUGGUGAGAAACCUUAUGUGAAAACAGCACUAAAUGGUAGCUAACUGGUUGUGAGAGGUAAAACGAGAAACAGACCCGGUAGCUCAGUAACUUUCUACAAAAUCAAACACUUUUCAUAGUGUCACUGGGAGAGUCUGCUCCACUAAAGGGAUGUAGUAGUUGGUAGAGUGGGAAAGUGGAAGAAGUGAUUGGAGAAAAACAUAUGGUUAUAAAUUAAACCCAGGCGGCUCUGUGCUUCUUUAGAAAUAUGUCACAAGCAGUGCUGAAUGGUGAUGGGAAAGCCUCAACUCUGUGUUUGGUAUUGAAUUUGAAGCUGUCUGAAGCGCAGCCACAUGAAGCAUGCACCAAGCUGUCACCAUCCUGAAGUUGGUGAAAGACCCCACUAACAACACAACUUGAAGAACUUUCCCAGAGAGAGCAAGAGUUGAUGGAACCCUUUUUGGAUUCUUCACACGUUGGAGGAAUCUUUUUCUUUUUUCUUUUUCCAUUGCAAAGGACCUAGGUACUUACUAGCAUUUUGACUGCUUUUGCAACAUUCCUUGGUGCCUUUAGGUCUUAUAAAUUACAGUUGAUUAUCAAUGCCCUCCUAAGAAAGAGUGUAAUUACACCUAUUGCUCACAGAAAGAAAAGGAAAAGCCCACUUCCAGCAAGGCAAAAGAUUCACUUAAUCAACUCAAAAGCACUAGGCUGAGAGAGAGCACAAAGCAAAUUACAACACUUUCUGCUUUAGUAUACAUGUACAUCGUCCAUAUCAGUAAGUAGUGGAGACAGGAGAGAAUAAAAAAUUGUUUGCAGCAAAGGAGGACUAAGUGCACAAAUCAUAACAAAGUCUUGAAUGCAAUUGCUAUACUAUAUUGUUCUAAUAGAACCCUCUUGUGGUUUAGUCAAACACAAGCCAUCAGUGGCCUCAAGAAAAAAAAAUGAACAAUGCCCAGAAGCAAUCCAACUCAACCUGUACCAUGAUCAGUUUUCUGAAAUGAAUUUGGAAUGGUUUUAAGACCAAGUUCCUAUUUUCACGGUAAAGCAAUAUUGUUAAUGUCUUGGUUAACUGAUUCUAAAUCUCAGUUCCUGGUAGGUGUUAAAUGACAACUAAGGCGAAUUCUGAAUGCUUGUGAGGGUUCCUUUUCCUGAUUUUCUUUUCGUAAAGAUUCUGUUUCCUUUUAUCAAAAGUUUCAUCAUUGAUGGGCAUUUGGAUUCUCCCUGUCAACUGUAGACAAUAUUACAAAAAAAAUAAGCCGGUCCACUAGAUAAUCAUAUUCCAUUCGUGCACACCUAAGCUUAUAAUAUGAAUUUCUGCAUAUUAUUGCAAGACAAGUCAUAGGAGCCCUUUUCUUGGACUGGACAAAAGGACAACACAAUUCUCUCUACUUUCCGAUCACUCAUUUCCAUCUCAUAGUCUUCUUGCCCUGAUAAAAGCUAGGGCAUCUUAGAAUAACAAGCUUAUGGGCUAAUCAUCUCAUAAUCUAUAGCAGUGCAGUGAUAGGGCAUUGAAGUAGAGUUUUUAAGAACUAAUGCUUCUUAGAUUGUGCUUAGUCAAAAGUGAGUCUCUGGAAUCAUUGUUAGUUGGGUGCAUGCUGUUGAUCCAUUUUAAUAAGCAUUCUUUUGCUUUCUGCUCCCUCCAUUAAGUCAGUUCCCCAUCUCUUUCCAUCUCUCACUUCACACACGCACACGCAUACAUUUGAUUAUCACAACAGAAAAGAUUGUUUCCAGCAAUCUACCAACCAUGAAUGAUCGAAUUUGUGGCCAGGAAAAGCCUAUAGGGGCCUUGGAUCAACAGUAUGUCUUUGUCUCUACUUUUGUGGCUUAUUUGGAUGCAUGCACAUGGUGUUUCUAUGUGGUUUCACUGAUAGCAUAGGCUGCAGUACAUCUAAACAUGGAAGCUAGUCUUUCAGGGGGUCCCAUCAGUAAAAAAUCUUGAUAUCUUUCUGUAAAAGGAAGCUGGUCAAAUGAUAUAUAAAAAUGGUUAGUUGAAGAUGCUAAGAAUUGAUGAGGGUUAUGACCUGAGAAUUUAUUAGUGAGAUACAAGCUUUACAAUCAAAGCAUCUCUUUCUAUUGCCUAAUAUAAUAAACCAUUCCACCAUCACUUGCUUGCCCAGACUCAACAAAGGAAAUGCUGGAAUGGUCCCAAAAACUAUCCUAUUGUGUUCUAAAUCUUCAAGGUGUUAGCCAGUUUAAUAAGAUUCGAGAUCCGACAGUGUGAAUAUUAAGCUUGUUUCCUUUUGUGGACAAUGCCCGUAAACUGGGUCGGUUCUUUCACUUGGAUUUCAAAUCAUAUUUGGCUACUCCAACUGUUACAAUAUAACGUAUAGGUUUGCUUUCGGUAUAAAACAAGAUGCUCAUCAACAACACUUUGAUUUUAAAGUUCUUAUCAUACUAACUGGGGAAAAAGAUAUUCCCCAUGUUGGCAAGAUGGGGUUUGUGUCAUUCACACUUCUUCAACACCUGUUGCUUCUUCACAAGUUUUAUCAUUGGGGCUAAAGACUUGACCAAACCAGAAAAUGAUUGAAGCAGAAUUGGGUAUUGGCUAUCCUCUAGCCUUGGAAAUUCCUUGACUGGUCUUGAUUCGAUACAUAACACCAACCUCCAACCCCCACACCUAUAUAAAAAACUGAUAAAAAUUCUUCUAAUGGAAAACCAAGGUCCCACUCUCUUCCUUUGUUGUCUUAAAGAUAUGGAAAACAAUUAAUUCUUUUCUGCCUUUAUGAUUUCCCCAAAUUUGGUCGUGCCCAAGAAAACCUUAUAGAGCUUCUUACAGUUAAACAACAAAUUGAACAUGAUUAUAUGUACUGGACCCCACCAGAGCAUCUCCAUAGUGCAGCAUCAUGCGUUAUGGUUGCCAAGUGUCGUGCUUUCUUUCAACUUAAUCGAUUACAACAAUGACUAUGAGAAGAAAAAGUGUAACUUCACUAGUGUUGGGCUCAGGUGCAUUGUGUUUGUGGAAAACCUGAUUCAUAUGUUUGUUAGGUGCUUCAUGUUCGUGCAAAACUUGAUUCACCGAGCAGCUACUGAAGUUGUUUCUAAGGGAAACCAGAAAAAAAACAUCCUGCAGAUUAAAACAAACAAGCCUCAACUUCCUUUUUUUGAGGCCCUAAGCAGUAAGGACUUCAAAUGCGGCCUGAUUUGUCUCUUUCAUACACCUAUGAGAUGUCCCUUUUAGCAAAAGAAGCUGUAACUUCAUCAGAGUAUUCUGUUUAUCUCCAAAGAGACUUUUAUACCCAUAAGAAUCUUGGUGGGACAUUACUAUAUUUUUUUUAACAUUGUUGGCAGACAAUGGCUUCACUAGGGCCUCUCUGGGAAGGCCCUUCCUGAAAUGAGAGAAGUCUGGCCUUGUCUAAGAGAAUUUAACAUAUCGGCAACUACCAUGUCUGUAGGACAUAGUCUUGAACUCCAACAUGCAUACUUAGUCUAAUAAAUUAGACUCCUGCAUCCCAAUUUGUAAAAAACAUUAAAGAACUAGAUGUUUAAUUCUCAAGGACAUCCAUAACCAUCCUGUUAUCUAAAGAUUUGGAAGCAGCCCUUGAACAUAGCUACUUUAUUUGUCAAAUACAUCCAGUCAUUUGAUGAUUUCUGAGCUGCCCUUCAACAUGACCUUCCCUAAAUCUUAGGUACUUCAUGUACCAGCAAAUUUCAUACUUCCAGCUUUUCAAAAAUAAAAUAACUCUUGAGUUAAACUAAAGAAGAAUUACAUUUUCAAAGAGAGUAUAUGGACGAUACAAGUUGAAUGUUUUUGUCGUGUCUUGAUAGGCGACAGUGCCAAUACAAGAGUGAACUAAGGAUUAAUGCAUAGUACAGAUAUGGUAAUUAGAAUCGCCGUACACAAACAAAGGUUCGCGAUAGACCUUAUACAGACUGCACACGCCAAGCAAUUUUGUCGCAUAUAGCUUGAAGUGAGACCUAAGCAAAUGCUAAAUGCAUCAGUGAUCUUACAUCCUACAACUAGCUGGUUACACAUAAAUGGUGUACAACAUUUUUGUUGCGUGCCAAUUUGCAACCAAUAACAAUGCAGUACACAGUAAUGAGAACCAACCAGAAACUACCAGCUAAUGAACAACACUGAGCAACUAAAGAUAACCAGAGUAACGCUUCCCACAAUUAUCAGGCAACAGGAGCUACUGUGAACCUUGUUCUUACUACCAUAUGCAAAUAACAUAAUCUUAGUCACUUCAAUGGAAUUAGGCCAAUUAGUAUGUUGGUAAUUUUUUCUGUGGAGCUCCAUUGAUAUAACCACAUGAUAUGCCAGAUGAGGUAAAAGAUUUAUAUCAUAACAAAGUCAUAAUUGAUUGUAUCAUUUACAAACUAGAGAAUGAAAAUUGAGCCAAAAAGAAAAGAAAAAGACAAGAGCGCAAAAGCUACAUUUGCCUGAAACAUUUGGAAAAGGCUUCUAUCUAAUGGAGACAACUACUAUGUACCCAUAUGUUGGUGGUUUAUUCAAGUACCUCUCUACUGAAAAAGAGGAUUGUGUGGGCUCAUUUUUCGGAUCUAUACAUCCCAAGAAAGCUUCUCCUGAAAAGGCUUGGACUACCCAAAGCCAUAGUACUGAAAUGGGGUGGAGCCAUAGCUGUUGUACAAGGGUCCUCCUCGCACUGCUCGUCCACCAUAUCCUCCUUCAUGGAAAUCAUGAGCCUGCACAUACAAAUCCAAACCUCAUUACUGAGUCAUAAAUUAAAUUUUCUGUGUCUCUUGUCCUGUUUCUCAGGUCGGUUGGUGCUCAUGUAAGCAGGGAACAACUCCUAUUAAUUGACUAUCAACAUUUCACUUGUAUAAGCACCAACUUUUAUUCAUAUAUUGAGCGAGAAAGUCAAUGUUGAUGCUUUUCAAGGUAACAAAAGUGCUUUCAAUUUCGAGAGUAAAAUUGAGAAUUACCCAUGGCUGUUGCUCGUAUUCGUAGGCAUUGAAACAUUCAGCCUUGGGAGUUUCUUCAAUUUCAUCAUUGCGUGCAAACCUGCCACGUACUCGAGGGCGACUGUCUGCUAGUGUUUUUCGACAUGCAUACUAACGAUCACAUUUUCAGAUUAGUGAUAGAGUGAUGGAGAGCAUGAAUUUGAUUGAUUGAAUGAACUGUGAUCAAGAAAGUUACCUUGAUUGUCUUGUUGAAAUUCCUCUGUGUGCGCUUGGCUCUGUACUUGUCAAUCCUCUCCUUCCUCUCUUCAGCACUGUAACGCCCCACCCUGAAGCUGGCCGCAUCCGGUGAGAAUUGCCUGUGGUUGGUCUGUGUGGGAGACAGUGAAAUUUUAUAUGAUAUUGGAGUUUUUAUUUAUUUCAAGACUUCAUUUUCUCGGAAAAAUGAGAGAAAAGGAAAAUGUGUGAGAAACGGUGUUUUCGUUAAUUUAUUUUCUAUUUCUGUCAUAUUCCUGAGAGUAAAAAAGGUGGGAGGAAAGGUAAAACAGAUAAGAAACGAACUUGUAAGUCUCCAGCGCUACAAACCCGUCUCAUGUGGCCGUUGAAAAAGAGGUUUUCCGGCGAGCGGAUGAUUGGAUUCUGGAAAUUGGGAGACCCCGGCGGAGCAUUGAAGCCAGGCUGAAACAAAAACCCACGUCUCCCGUCGAACGAGUGGCUGCUAAAGCUCCUCUGCAUCAUCCUCGCUGCACUCUCAUCACCGCCAUAGCUGUGAGCGCCGAAAACAGGAUUGUAAAAACACUCCUCCAAACUCACCCCACGUUGCUCUGGUUUCACAGCAUCCAAACCAGAAAGCCCCACAAACCCGCUCGCCAAACCCGUCCCAUUCUCCACCACCGCCAAAUGGGUGCUCCGGCGAAGCGAGAGGCUCUCCAUUUCCCGACUAGGCGGCGACGAAUGCAGCAUCGGAACAGACGGAACAGCCUGCUCCACCACCUGGGCCUCAGCCUCAACCUCAACCUCAUCCUCUGGCUUCUCCUUCACUGGGUCAUCCUGAAUUGCUUGGAGGAAGUCGAGAGGCGAGUCGGAGAAGGGAGAGAAGGCGUCGGACAGGAACUGGAGGUCGACGUCGAUAUCAGAUGAAACGACAUCGUCGAUUAGGAAGAGAUCAGAAGCCAUUGGAGUUCAAUUCUUAACGGAAAAAGAUAAGAAAACACUAGACAGAGCAGAAGAAGCUUGUCAAUACAUAUAUAUUUCUUCCUCUGCUUCCUGUAUUUGCAUGCUUCAAUUCAAUAUGGUUACGAAACAGACACAGGUAAGCAAAUGAGGACACUUGGGUUCGUGGUUUAUUCAAUCACUCCUCAAAUGGACUCUUUCUCAGUACAAACAAAAGCCAUUUUCCAUUUUCUCUUUUCUCGGUUUUCUUUCUCUCUCCUCAAGAGAGAGCGAGAGACCCACGACCACGAGUGAGCAGACCAGUCCACUUCUGCUGAGAUAUAUGGCGAGCAUGGCAACUUUUCAGUGGGGCCCUCUACUUCACUUAUUUCCGAAGUGGCAUAAGAGUUUCGUGUUUUUUCCUUUUUCAGCCCCGUUGACCGCAUUACUUUUUCACUCUUGCCCUGCCUUCUCGGCCACUUUUCAAAAACAUUAAAAUUCUCUCCGUGUUCGUCUUCUUCAAAAGUCCAAAAGUCUUCUCAUUUCUGAGGUCGUCGGGGUAUCGAAAUCUAGGGCUUUUUAUUGGGGCAAUUGUAAUUGUGAGGUAAGGUGAGGAGAGGAGAGAAGCAGGAAUCCUACGAACAUGGCGUCGCAGGAGUAUUUGGACAAGAUGCAGGGGCGCCAGAAUUUUCGGAAUCUCUGGCACACCGAUCUCAUGGGCACAAUUCAAGCCGACACUCGUUGUAAGCUCUUGCUCCGUGUCUCUAAUUAUAGGUUCAUUCUCUGAUUGUUUUUUUUUUUUUUUCUCUUUUUUCUUUUUGGGUUUUUGUUCUUUUUGUCUAUCUACUCAACUGUUCUCUGCUUUGUCUGAUCGCUUGUUUGUGUUUUGUGGGUGUUUAUCUGCAGAUUGCUGCUUUGCCUUUUGGUGGUGAGUACUUGGAUCUGUUGUGUAUUUCAGGUUUUCUGUGAUUCAGAUCUGAUUUUGCUUUUAUUUUGGUGUUCUAAUUUGUCUUUCGUAUCAUGAUUGUUGUUGUGAGGCUAUGUUUUAUUGCUUAGGGUGACACGGGAUUUCUCAACUGUAGAGACUUAGAGCUAGCAAUUAAUGGAAGAAAGAAAACAAUGAUUGAGCACAGUAGGCUGAGAUUUAGGUGGAAAGCCUUCUUAGAGGUGGUCAAAUUGAUUAAUUGAUUAACAUUGAAGUGUGUGAGAGGUUUUCUUGGGUCUAAACUUGAGAACGAGAAAACAGACAAACACAUGGUUCCCCGGUCGAGAAAUGAACCUCACUUUUUUAGAACUUACAUAAAUCUCUGAAGCUUGCUUAGAGAAAAGUACAGGUCUGAACUACAAUUGCUUUGACACAGGGAACACUUUUGAAGGUUAGAAUUUUGUUUCUUAUGUCUUCUUCAUCAACUCAAUCAACCCUAGAUUAAUUUCUUCUCCAGACAGAAACAAUCCCAACCAUUGUUGUGAGGAAACAUUGUGAAAUCCAAUUUCUUAUUAUUUCUUUAUUAAAUAAAUAAGUAUGACCACCCUCUGUAAUACCUUGGAUCCAAUAAAUAAAUAAAUAACAAAGACCACUGUCUGUAAUACCUUUGACUUAUGGUAGAAUGGCCCCCGUUCUGAAUAAAUAUUGUAGAACACUGUUCUGAUUAGCCUAUGUCUUUAUCUUCAUCAGUUGGUUUUUGAAGGCAUUUUGGCUGCAAUGGGCAUUGCAGAGAUAGCCAUGCUGGCUAUCCGUCAAUUCCUCAUUGACUACUGUGGUUUAGCGACCAAUAAAUAUGACUCCCUAGAACUGCAACAACAGGUAUAGCAGAGAAAAGGAAAAUGAGGGUGGGUUGGCUGGGUUUGGUUUUGGAACUUGAAGUUCCUAAAUAAAGCACUACUGGGGAUAUGGUUGCAGAGGUUUGAGGUGGAAGGGAACAGCCUCUAGAGAUGUAUAGUGGUGGAUAUGUUUGGGGAGGGCAUAGGGGUUGGCAUUCAGGAAUGUCUGUGAAGAAGGAAGCCAUAGUUGCAGAUUACAGGCAGUGGUCAGAGACAGGGUACUGGAAUAUUAGGUUCAAAAAAAACUUCCAUGACUGAACAAGAGGGAGUUCGUUCCUUCUUAGAGCAUGUUUACAGAGCGAAGAUUGAGGGGGAUAAAGAUGAUCCUAUUGCUUGGACAACUUCUAAAGGUGGGAAUUUUAAAAGAACUUUCUUUAGGGCUCUCUAAAUAAAUUGAGUAGGUUUCAGAUUUUCAGAAAACCAGUUUUGGGGGGACUUGGGUUCCAUUAGAAGUAGCUUUCCUUUUUUGGAUGGUCAACUUAUUUAGAGAGGGUUGAUCAUAGGUAAUUGAAGUUCUAUUUGCAAGCUAGAUGAAUAGAUGUUCAACUAUUUAUUGAUACAUUGUUUAGUUGCACGAGGGUCAUGGUCUAUGACUCUAUAUUGUUAUAGCAUUUUUCUUUCUUUUAUGUGUAUGUGUGUGUUUGUUGGUUGGGUUAUUCCAAGGAUGAUGAAGGAGGUACUAUCAAGUUGGUUUGGCAGGUUCAGCAGUAGAGGUAGAAAGAAGUGGUGGAAAACCUCUGCUAGAUGUUUGGGUUGAUGUUCAUGGAAAGCGCGGAAUAUGCAAAUUCUUUAAGGGACUGAACUUUUGAGUUUUGGAAAAGAAAAUUGAAGGAAGUGAUGCUGUGUUUCUUGUCUGUGUGAAUGAAUGAUUAGGCUAUAGAGCAAAGUAGGGUUUUGAUUUGAUUUUAUUGAUACUUUGGUCCCCAGAUGAGUUAUAGGCUGCUUAUACUUCCUGUGUACUUGGAUGUGCCCUUUUUGGUGUUUUUCUUUCUUACCUACAAAAAAGCAAUAGGCGUGUGCUAGAACUUUAGGUUUCAGUGGAGAGUGCACUGUUAGUAGAACAGAUAUUUUCAAAGUAAAGUGAUAUCUUUUCAAAGUACUGUGAUAUCUCUUCUCACAUCAGGGUGCCACUGAUCAAAUCUGCUGUGUAGAUUGUAAAAUAUUGCAGUGGAGCAUGGGCAAGAAUUGAGUGCUCAAGGAAGCAGCUUUACUUGCAAAAACUUCCGAAGUCUUGUACUUGCAAAGUUAAGAGUGGAUUGGUUAAAUGGGAUAGAGGAUACCCACAUGCUGCCCCAUUCACACAGACAAACAAAAAAUAAUGAAUAAAUAAGAAAGCUAGAUUGUUUUCUUGUUGUUCAUGCAAUUUAUUGUGAUUUUGUCACCACAUUCAGUUUUGUUUUAUCAAGUAUUGAAAUUAUUUUCAUACUUCAAUGUAUUUCUGUUGUGUUUUCAAAAUGUUUAUUUUUGCUGAUCAGAGCUCACUGCCACGAUUAAACUUUUAAUCUUGCAUAUAAAAUGUGAAUGGAAGUGUCCUUGUUAUCACUGUUAUGCUUAUUGUUAGUGCUUUAGCCCAAAUAAAUGCAUCGUUGGCCCAAGGAUUAGUAGGGCUUCAGCUCAAAUAACCUUGAUAAACAUUGUUAACCACUAACUAAUAGCUCAAACUUUUAAGUUAAUUAGUAACAUAACAUAGGAUUAGAGCCUUGUUUUGUGGGAGGCCAUGAGUUCAAUCCUCACUGGUGUUUAUUUCCUGAGCUUAUGUGCAAGCCCUAAAGGAAGGUUGUCCGGAUUUAGCUUGGAUAAGCUUGAUAUACAUUGUCAACCUGCUACCUGAUAGUUUAACACUCAUCCAUCCUGAAUAUCGUGCUUCUGAUGAGUGUAGAUCACCCAGCCAAGUUUGUAAUUGAAAAUUUCUUAUAUCUUUUAUUUAACAUCUUUUUUGUAGCUUUAUUUUAUUUUAUUUCUUAAAAUCUAUCAUUUAGUAUUAUCUCUCUCUCUUUCUUUCUCUCAUAUGCCAGGAAAAGGGCUUCUUGACCUUUGUUCCUUGAGAUUUUGGUUACUUUUUAAACUCACAUGCCAUAGACAUGGAUAUGUUUUUCAUCCCUACUUGUCAAAAAAAAAAAAAAAGUUUUUCAUCCCAUUACAAUAGUGUCUAAUUUGCCAAUUUUUCAUUGCAGUGCACCAUGUGUGUCAUACUUGCUUCGCAAAAGAGCUCUUUAUAAUGAUAUGUCAAGGUAAUAGGUGCUCUCCAUUUCCCUUGGAAGUCUUGAUGUCAACUGAAUUGAUGUCGGUGUAAAUAUUGUUUCCUCAUGUCUGCAUAGGUAUGUGUGUUGUGCUGGUUAUAUGCCCUGUAGUGGAAGGUGUGGAGAAAGCCGAUGCCCAGAAUUUUGCCUUUGCACUGAGGUAUGAAAUUUCCUUUUUUGGUUUCCUUUGUUGUUCUCUUAAAUUAACCGUAUCUUAUGUCUCCAGAAAUUCCUUGGUUGAACAUAUCUGCCUAUGCUGUAAUUCAACUGUACUCCUUUUUUCUUCCUUUUUAUUUUUGCCAAAAUUAUUGAGUGAUAAAAAAUUAAUAAAAAGGAAGAGAAACUCCUGUUCUCUUAUCCUCCAGAAAUAUUUUUAUAGCAUCAACAUGAAGAAGGCUAGACCAAGAAAUACAAGCAUUAUCUGAUCUGCAUGCCCAAGAGGCUGUACCGGGGAUUGUAGAAUACACAGACUCCUUUUUCUUUUGAGACCCUCUUCCACAGUGCCAAUAUUUUACAUCUUGUAUAUUAUUUCUGAGAAGCAGGAGGCAGAUGCUAUCAAAAGGGUAGAAUCUUUUCUUUAAAGCUAGAAUAUUAUGUGUGUGUGUGUGUGUGUGUGAGCGCAUGCGCGUUCUCAGUGCGUGCUCUCUGCAUCCUGCUCACUUGUUUCACUUCCUUUCAGGAUUUUAUUGGAAUACUUUAAUCAUCUAUCUGAUUUUCUAAUGGGAUGACAAAAAAAGGGGAGACUGGUUUUAUAAAUUGAGGGAAUUCACACGUUGUUGUCAUUUUCUGACUCAAAAUUUGGCUGCCUUCAAUUACUUGUUUGCUAUCUUUCAUUUAGACAUCAAAGAUAGGCAUUUUGUAAUAAAACCGUGGGGGAGAAUGAAUGGCAUUAUCACAAUCCAUUUUUCAAAUUCAGUUUGUAUAUUUGCUCUCAGUUGUGAUGGAUCAAUGGCAAAUUGUUCUAGUGCACUGUACAUAAUACCAUCUUUUGUUUAGCUCUACUGAUUGUGAGAUUCACAAUUGUCUAGCUCCAUCACCAGAAUUUAGGCUUUUUUGUUUUUGCAUCAUGGAGCAUCUCAUUUGUGAAGACAACAUUAUCUUGAGUUUGACGGUUAGGGAUAAGAAUAUUUUUUAUCAAGGUGUAACAAAUUCAUGGAUUCUUUUAGUCAGUUCACUGAGGCUUUGUCAAUUAUCCUGAUGUGACAAUUAUUCCAAGCUUCUUUUCCACUUUUUGUUUAGGUUCUCCUCUGCUUUGGAAAUUCGGUAGCAUCAACCCGCUUUCUGUUGCAAGAUGAGUUCAACAUACAGACAACAAAAUGUGACAAUUGCAUCAUUGUACGUAUGCUUUCUCAAUGAAUCAAUCAAAACCAAUCUAUACACAUUUGCAUUUGGUUAAUCUUGUUACCUGCUGAUAUGUAGGGUUUCAUGUUCUGCCUCCAACAAAUCGCAUGCAUAUUUUCCAUAGUGGCAAUGAUUGUUGGAAGUGAUGAAAUUCAAGAGGCUUCUCAGUUACUAUCUUGUUUGGCUGAUAUGGUAUAUUGCACGUAAGGCUUUCUUUUCCUACCCUCUAUUGAACUAAUGGCUAAGUGAAUUGUAAGACAUCAUUCUGAUCUUACUGUUUGAUUUUGUUUUUGUAGGGUUUGUGCAUGUAUGCAGGUAAGCAAGAGCUACAACAAACACAUGCAAAUGAGAAACCGUAUCUAUAUCUAAAUAUCACGUCACACUAUGUUAACUGAUGUUCUUGUGGAGUAUUGCAGACCCAACACAAGAUUGAAAUGGACAAGCGAGAUGGCAUGUUUGGACCACAACCCAUGGCCAUACCCCCUUUGCAGCAGAUGUCACGCAUUGAUCAGCCAUUUCCUCCUUCAGUUGGAUAUCCACCUCAGCCUGCAUAUGGGCAGCCCUACGGUUACCCACCUCCUCAGGCUCAUGGCUACCCAGCUGCCAGUUAUCCUCCAAAACCCUAAAUCCAUCAAGGCAUUACCAGAGCAGGCACAUGUGUCUUCAUGAUCCCAAGGUGAGUGACUGGUAUAAUGAUUGGCAUUUUUAUGUGUUGUAGAUUUACAGACAGUUAAUACCGAAAAUUUAAGCCCUAGAGUGUUUUCUGUCUCUGAAUUUUCCUCACCGAUCCCUAUUGGAGCUCGAAUAUUUUUAUUUGCAAAUUCUGUUGAGACAUAAAACCUGAGAGAACCGGGUUUAUGAUCUUAUUCAGUCCCCGGGGAAUUGGGAGCUUUGGGUUUUUUCCAUGCUAGUAAAUGAAGUAUGAUGUUUGUUUGCCGGUGUUCAUUUUCAUAAAUGUUUCUCUUUCUUUCUGGUCCAUAUUUGCAUGGAAAUGGGAUCCUUAAUGCAUAUAUCUACGGGUAAAAGAAAUCUCCAGUCAGAGAAAAGGAAAGUUGGAAGGAAAGAAAAUGGAGUAGAAACUAGGACAAAAGAGAAAAGCGAAAGAAAAUAAUAUAUAUCAUAGUGUAAUGUGCUUUUUGCUAAGUUUAUACUGGAGAAUUUUUGUCCAUUUUUUUUUAUAACAUUUUUCUUACCUUGUUUUAAGGUUUUCCCCCUACUUUUUAUCCAUGGUAUUAAUGUAAAAAUAAUAAUUUUUUUUCAGUGGAAACAGGUGUAUUUUCGUUUUUUUUUUUAAAUUUUAAAAACAGAAAAUAAUAAUAAUUAUAUAAAUUAUGUAAAAUAUAGAAACUCUUAGAGACCUAUGUUAAAAAUAUCAAGGUUUUUAAAAAAUUGAUUAAAAGAAUUUGACUCAAAAAUUUUUAUAAUAUUAAUUUCUUUUUAAAUCCUCGAAAAUGAUUCUUUAAAACACAAUGUAAGCUUAUUUAUUUAUUUUUUUUAUACGAGUUUCUAUUUAUAUACAUAUGUAUAUUAAAAAAAAUAAAAAACAGAAAAAGUAUUUAGAGGAAGUAUUAAUUAUUUUUCCCUUCCUUGGUCCUCAGUGUUAAUAAAUUUUUCUUGGCUGUUUGUUUUUAAUUAUUUUAUUUUAUUUUCUCUUUUACGUAAAAAUGAAUAAUCCAAAAGCCAAUAUAUUUUAAAAUAAUUUUUGACAGAUCCAUUUCUCUAGUAUGGAAUUGAAGAAAAGUGAAAAUUUAAACGAGAAUUCAUAUAGCACAUCUAAAGGGUAAGUGACUCUCAGACUUUCAGAUUAGGCACAUCACUGUCUAAAUUGAAAGAGGAAUGACAUCUUUGAUUACUUAGAACACAUUAUUUUUUAGAAUAAAUUUGGAGACCUUGUUUUGUGAACUGUUCUUCACUUGAAAACAGUUUGUAACUCUUCUUGAAAUUGGAAAAAAAAAAAAAAAUUGUUUUUUAAUUUGAAAAACGUGUUUGACAUAUUUAAUUUUCAUAAACAAUAGUUUUUUUAGAAUUUAUUUAAAAAAUAACUUAUUCUUUUGAAUAAGUUUGAAGAGUUUUUUUGAGAAGUGUUUUUUGAAUUUUGAAAAUAUAUUUGAUAUUUUUUUAUUUAUAAAAAUCAGAUUUUGAGAACUUAUCACAAAAAAUAUGAUAUUUUCUAAAAAUACAUUUUAUUCUCAGUUAUUUUAUUUUAAAAUUAUUUUUUAAAAAUAUAAAAAAUAAAUUGAGAACAUUUCAAAUUUUGAGAACUAUUCUUUGAGAACUUUUUAAAAAAAAAAUUGUUCUUUAUGGUGGAGUUUAAGCAGCAUUUAAAGAAAAUGAAAGACAUAAGUAUAAAGAAGCUUUAUAAAAAAAAAAUCAAAAAAAUAUUUUUUAUAUUGAAAAAUUUAAAUAGAAUUUAUUGUGGAAUAUGUUGCAGCGUAAGCCCAAGGGUUGUGUGUGCAUGUGUGGGAUUGGUGGGGUGGGCCAAAUUUAGGAAGAUGUUGAAAAUGGAGUAGACCUGGUGCAUCCUGCCAUCCACAAAUCAGGUAUUGGUCCAUUAGCAGUAAGUUAAGAACGCAUACCAAACCCCAUCCUCAUUCCUCCUUCAAAUCCCUCAUUUUUUUACCUUAAUCCCAUCUUCACCAUCAUGUCAGUGAUGUCACAAUCUUCAGAAUCUAACCUGCCCAUAAGUUACGUGUUGGACACUUGGAAUAAAUGUAUCAUAGUCAAGCCUCUACAUCUUUAAUUCUUCUCUAUUUCUCGGAUUUUUUUUAUCAAAGUAAGACAGUUUAAAAAAUAAUUCAUAAAUUAUCAUUAUGGAAAAAAAAAAUUUUAAAUUUAUUAUAAUUUUUUGUUAAAUAAGAGACAACGUUAUUUCCUUUUAAAUCGUUUAUUUAGAAAAUGAUUUUAUAUAUUAAAAAAAAAUCAUUUUUUGAAUAUACUAUUUCUAAAAUUCAUUUUUUUUUAAAUUUACACAUUGAAAUUGUCUCACGAUUUCAAAAAAAAAAGUAAGAAGAAAUCGUCUAUUAAAUAAACGAUAAUAAAUUAAUAAUAAAAUUGUUUUUUAUUGACGCAUUUUUCACAUAAAAUUGAUAAUAACUUUUUUUUAAUUACAAAGCAAAAAAAAAAAGAUAAAUAUUAUUUAUCUUAUAAAUAAAAAACGAUAUCAAAUUAAAUUAAUUUUAUUAGUUAUAAUUAAUUGAAUUAAUUUAAAUAAAAAAUUAAAGAUUAAAAAGAAAAUAUUUUUAAAGUUAAUAUCUAAAUGCAAAACAUAAUUUAUAUUUUUAUAAAUAUUAUUAUUGAUAAAUAUCUUAAUAAGAACCAAGAAUUCCUUAUGUUACUCGCUUUCUACUGCGUUUAGUUUUUAAUAAUAAAAAUUAGAAAGAUUAUUCUAAUUUCUAGCAUAAAACAAAAUAUAUUUUUAUUGGGAAUGGGAAUGGGAAUGGGAUUGGGAUUGGGAUUUUCAUUUUCAUUUCUAUUUCUUUGUCUAAUCCCGAUUCCCAACUAAUAAACACAUUUUUGAGCUGCAUCUUGUACCUGAAAAUGGAAAAGGAAUGCACUUCCAAAAAGGAGCUGGUCAAAAAUAAUUUUUUCUUUCAAUCAAUUCCCAUUUUCUGGAAAAAGGGUCCAAAUAUAAUGGGUUGGGUGGGGUCAAGUACUGAUAUGCCCCAAUUGAUGAAAUGGCCACAUUCUGGGUAGAUGCAGUCCAAUCGUGGAACCCACAAGUUGAUUCUUCUAACCUUCUUUUCCCCUGUGCCUUCCACGGUUCGCCGAAAGCUACAAAUACAAAAGAAAAAUUAAUCUAGAAGGAUGAGGUAGGGUCUUGGGGGUUGAUUAUUAUUCAUUUAUAUUGUGAGAAAACAUUAAUUGUGUGGACUCAUGGGUCUGCUGCCACGUGGCUUCUGCAAAUGGGUCUUUGACUGCUAUUUUAUUGUUAUUUAUUGAGGAAAAAAAAAUAGUAUAAAGUAUUAGAAAAUGAUUGAAAAUGGUGGGUAGGGAUUACAUUACAUUACUUUCAAUAAGAAAGGUGUUGCUUUGAAGGAAGGGUACAAGUAGUCCUAUAGGAUAGUGGAGGGAAGCUUCUUUAUCUACCUCCCAAGCCCUAAUAUUUUUUUUUUUUACUAUUUAUUUAUAUUUACCAUAAUCUAUUGUUUUUAAUUCCAGCUCACUUCUCAAUAUCACAUAAAAUGCCCUCCCUCAAUUUCACUUGUGUUAAUCUGAUCAAAUGUAAAGAAUACAAUUACAAGAAAAAUAUAACUAUCAUUUAUAAAAUAAGACUUAAGUGCAAAACUUAAUAAUUCUAUUUUUAUUUGCAAGCCUUAAUAAACUUUUUGUGCGUAUAAUUUUCUUGAGUUUUAGGAUGCAUUAUUUUUAGAAAAUACUUUUAACCUAUACAAAUUUUUAAGUGUUAAAAAUAUUAAAAAUAUUUUCUAAAAUCAUUGUAAAGAGGAUUUAAAUGUGUUAAAAGUUUAAUAUUUUGUUAUUGGAACUUGUAUAAUUUUACAAUAUGAGUGAACCUACAUGGAUGAUAAUGAUUCACUCUAAUUUGAAAACAGAUUAAUACAUAUAUAAACUAAACAGUAAACACUCAAAAUUAAUUUAACUUAAAAAACUACCUUUUCUUGAAAAUGGAUGGAAUUCUAAUUUUACUAUUUAACCAAACUUUCAACUCACUUCUCUUUUGGUUAAAUUAAAUUGCACAGGAUAAUACAGAGACGCCCACAUGCCACCACGUUCUGCUUGUAAAUUGUAAUCACUUCAAGAUAGAGGCGACCAGCGGCGGCCGAUGGCUCAACCACGACCUCCAUGACCGCCAACCACCAUUGACUUUUCCAUCGAAGUCAGCAUACCCAUCCAAACCCAACAAGAAAAUCACCACAAAGUGCUUAAAAGAAAAAAAUAAACCCAAAAUUUUCCAUUCCGGUUGCCGGAAAAUCAUCAAUUUUUUUCAUCCCAUAUAUCAAUUUUUUUUUUGGUAUAUAUACAAUCAACAUCGAAAAAAAAAAAAUUUCUCUGAGAAAAGAAAAGAAAAGAAAAGAAAGGAAAAGGAGAGGAGCUAUAAACCAAGAGGAGAGUAGUCUCCAUAGAAAUCAGGAAGAGCAGAGGCAGCCCAAAGCCUCUCAUUGAAGGCUUCUUGCAUAUCAUCAGGGAUGAAGGGAGUUCUACAAAGCGGACACGUCUUCUGAUCACAGUCCAUCCAACGGUCCAGGCAGCUCCGGUGAAAUAUGUGCCGGCAGUUCGUCAGCCGUCGGAUCUCCUCCUGUCCUUCAAACUCAUACAGACAGACCGCACACUGGUCCGGCGGGUCUCCAGCGCCGGCCCCCACCAGCUCCUCGAACUUCAUCACCGGGAGGAUCUCCCGGAUCAGAACCGCCGACACCGACUGAAAUUCCGGCACCUGGGUCGACCCCUCCGUCCACACAAUGUCCGGUUCCAGAAAAUCGGUGAGACCCAGGAAGCGGAAGAAGUAGGAGAUGAGUUUUCUGAUGAAACCCAGAAGAGAAAGCGUGUGCAGAAGAAGUUUCGGGAGGAGAAGCUCCGUGUAACCCACUGGAAAACCCAUGAUUUUUUUUGGGUAUGCUAUAGCCGGUAGUUGUGAACUUAUGGUGAAUUUGAGGUACGUGUACAGUAGCAGAGAGCAAAGAGGAAGAGAAAGAGAGAAAUCGAGAAAGAGAGGGAGUUGGGGAGAGAGAGAGGAGAGAGGUGGCGUUAUAUAGGAGGAGAAGAGAAAUGGGGUAGUGAAAAAUUGAAAAUGUCAGGAAUGGGCCUAUGGAUUAUGGAGAAUGAGAGUGAAGGGACAUGGUGGUAGCAAGCCUUGUGUGUUGUUCAUGUCACCAUACUCACCUGUCUUAUUCUUUGGCCUCGAGCUUUCACUUAACCUACCCCCUUUUUUCACAAAAAAUGAUUAAUCGUAUAAUUUUUAUUUUGCAUAGGAAAUUAUAUAAAGUUGAAAUAAGAAAAGUUUUAGGGCAUGGACUCAUUAUCUAUACGACUUAUAUUCUUCACCGUUGAAAGCCAAUGAUAAAAUCUACAUAGCAUGAACAUAAAAAAGGUACAAACUAAUGAUAAAAUCUAAGUCCGGAUACAUCAUGAAGGUACAAACAAAUCAAACAAAAUCAAAUUAAAAAAAAAAAUGUGUAAAGUGAAAAUAUAUGACAUAUUGUGAUUAGUUUCAUUUUUUCAUAGGUAUUGAUUCAAUGCUAGAGUGAAAUUCUUGUGUUAAAUAUAGGAAUGGCUUAAGCUGUUUGAACCCAAGACAAAUCACAUUAUGAAAUACAAAAUUUCCACUCGAGACUUUUAAUUAACCAAAUAUUAAUAUCAUAUAUAAAAUUCAUGACUAUAAGACUAAUAGAUGUUUGGAAGUAUCUUUUUUUAUAUAAUGCAGAUGAUGGAUGGGCGGUGGGGAAUGGGAAGAAGCAGGAAAUAUUGUUCAAGUACAUUUGAAGGAAAUCAAAGUAGAUGGCUCGGUGGCUUCUUUUUAAGAAUGUACAGAGAAAAAAGAGUGGUGUAGGGCAAAUUAGGAGGCGAAUCAUAAUGUGACUAUUAGGAAAACCCCAUAAAGGCCUUGUUUGGUACUGGGAAUAAAGCAUACUGUACUUUCAUCAUCAUUAUCACACUAUAAUUUUCAUGAAUCCACUCACAAGUCCACAACCCGAUGGUCCCAUUCGCAUUCAAAAGACUAGUGUCCCAUUUUGUAUAAAAUCUCCUCACAAAUUGAAUCAAAUUCUUCUUUCCAAUUCACCAAAUAAGUUCAGGGUUUUUGUAGGAGUGAAGUGAGAAAUGGGCAAAGGAGUUGAUUGGGAUGAAUGAAUAAUGAGACAAUGGGCCAAAAGAGAAAAAGGGUCACAAGUAUUGAAAUGCCCUAGACAUGAAGUGGGGCUAAUGGCUCCUUCAAUCAUCCCAAAAGGGAAGCCCACAAAGGGAGCCAGACAUCAAAAAAACAACAAAUCCAUGGAAAACAAUAGUUUAGUCAUGGUUAGUGGGUGAUAUUUGGUGCCACGACACAUCAUGUUGUCAUGGUUGCACCUUAAUGGGGGUGCCACUAGUUCUUGGAAUACUUGGAAAAGAAGAAAAAAGGGUUCAUUUCUCUCAUAUAUCCCUCUCAAGGCAGAGUGAUGAUAUCUUGAAACCAUGACAAAGACCCAUCAAAAAUCCCAAAACAACAAGUCCCAAGUAACUAACUUACUUCCUAGUCAUAUAAUUCUUAUCAAAAUUCAGUACAACCACAUAUGCCACGGUGUUCACUUCAUAAUGGAAGAGACUAGUAUUCAUUACGGUAUAAGAUGUUAAAUUUAGAACUCUCUUCUUAGAAUGUGUAAAUAUAGAUCAUUAGAUACCGUGUUUCACUUUAAUCCAUUUCGAUGGAGAUGAUUACGACCCUCAUUCAAUACAGAGAAAGAUGGUCAAAGACUCAAAAGUGAGUUAUGAUAGAGGCAAUAUGUGAGGGGGGUGUGAACCCUGGCCAACCGGCCAAGGAGGAUGGGGGGUGGUGGUGUGAAGAAAAGGGCCAAGGUGGGUGUGGCCACCAACACCAAUGCAGGUGAGAUGGGCAAGCUGCCUCUGACAUGUGUCUGACACAGACACAACACUUUGGACCCACUACUCUCCCUCACCCAAAUAGAGUGGGGGCAACCAACACCUACUUCUCUCCACCCCCUUUCUGCUCUUUUCCUUUGUCUCUUCCUCUGUCCUUCCCUUCCUCCUUUCGACUACUUUCAUGCCCACCAUUACCCCCUCCUUUUUCUUUUUGGGUUUACUAUUAUCCCUGCUUUUCAAAUUUGGGCCAAACCAAAUCUAUUUGUUAAUAGCAGAAACAUGUGUACUCAUACAUCUAAAUGCUGUAGAUUGUUUUUAGUAAACCAAGCAGAAGGAAAAAAAUUAUAUUCUGUAUUUAUCUAAAUAUUUUUAAAAUAAAGUGUUCAAAAGUUUUGGAAAAAGGGUUUUCAAAAGAAACAAUAAACCCCAUGUUUAAUUUUUACGAAAAUUUAUUCUGUAUUUAAUAAAAAUUUCCCAGCAUUAAGAUUCUUUUACAUUAAAAGACCCCCAAUCGAAAAAUGUCUGCCAUCACAUUUGGGAAAAGGUAAAAAAAAAAAUGGAGAAAUGAAAAAUAAGAAAUUUCCUCAAGGAGAACCAACAUGCAUAUCUGAAGUCUAGCUUAGUGGCUUUUGGCUCUAUUAGAAUCAGACUAUGAAUAGGCCAGCCAGCUAAGUCCAACCUUGAUUCUUCCAUAAUCCUAGUCCCUAAAUCACCCCACUUGGACUAUUUAAUUGUCAUUCUCUUCUGAUUUCUGAGCAAUUUUCUGCUUGAUUCCCCUUAAAUUGAUCUCAAGAAGCAUGAUUUGUAGGUGAUUAACUCCAAAAAAUUCUUCACUUUCAAAGCUUAAUUAUCAGAAAUUGCCUGCCAUUAGACCAAACAAAGAAUCACAGCCUGUCUACUCCAAGUAAAAAGAGAUCAAAUUCCUCCCAGCCUUGCCUUUCAGCAGCUGUCUAAUGCCUAAGUAAAAUAAAAUUUACCCAAAUAUAAAAUGGGGAAACCCACUCAAAGCAAACUGCAAGAGGGUUUUGGUGUUUGGAGCCCAAGAAAAUUUACAUGUGAGAGCACGUUAAUCAUCAGUUGUCUGACAAGGCCCAUGUGGCCUUCUCCUCUGUCGUGUCCUUUUCCUCUGUUUUGGGAAAUCCAUUCACUGCUUAAUCAUAUAUGCAAUCUUUUUACUCUCCACUACUUACAUGAUUUCAUCCAGGAUGGUUUUGGCUUUUAUUUGGGUUCAUGAAGUUUCAUAGUAAAUUCAAAGUUCGAGCCAUGGUCAUUUUGCUUUAACAAAUUUAGUAAAUUUAAAGUAGAAAAAGGGUUUUUAAAAGCAAAAAACAUAAAACAAAUAGUGUGCUUAGUAGUUACAAUAAUUGGGUAUCAUCAAAUUAUUGAUUAUAAGUUCAUAAUCCUAGUCUAUUUCAAUUUUUGGUGGAACAAGCCUGAUAAUUUUUUGAUUCGCACCAAAAAAAAAAUUAUAAUAGUUGGAUUUAUUUAAUUGAGUAAGAUUGUUUGACGUCGAUGUACAUUUUAAAAGAAAAAUCAUUCAACCUAAAUUUGUAGCAUUUCAUCUCAUUUUCCUUGUGGGGUAUGUAGAAUAAUGAAUAGAAUAGAUUCCCACAAAAAUAAAAUAAAUUUAGAAAGCAAACAUGUUGUCUAAACCAAGCUGAUCUCUUUCAAUAAACAAACCAAAAGCUGGAUUGAGUGGUGUCAUGAGUUGGGACAAAGGGAGAUUACACACAGUGAUAAACCACCUCAUUUCUCUUAAGUAUUCCAAGUGGGAAGUGAAAGAAGAAGCAUCUACUGAUUUGUCUGAGGAGGAUGAGGAAGCUUUACAGAGAGCUGCUUGGCUGUGAACUCGGCCUCACAACAACUUCACUGUGCUUCCACGUUUUGUUUCCGCAAGCUUUUUACAGCACAUCCCUAAUUUUAUUGGAAUAUUUUGGGAGGAGGGGGACCCCAUUAUUGUUAUUAUUAUUGAAACUCUUUACAACCAUGAAAAUGUUAUCUCCCCCUCUUCAUUUGGACUCUUUCUUUGACUCCUGAUUUGGCCCUUUUUUCUAAGGCUGUCCUCAUCUAACCUUUCUUUUGUAUGUGUUCUAAUCAAUUUUGUUGUGACUCUCCCUCUCUCUCUCUUGAUGUAACAUGCAAGAUGGUUGAUAUGCUCUCAUUGUCACUUCUCUUUCAAGGGUUCCAACCCAACUUUUCCUUUGCUCUGCAGCCUCUCCCAUCAUUCUCUUGGUGUGUUUUCAACUUAGAACAUGCACGUUAUGAUUUGAGUUUGAUGGGUUCUUGAAUUGGAUUUUUUGGUGUGGAACUCGUGUUUGUUGUAAGUUUUCAGGCCGGUUUGAAUUUCAGAAACACAAAGACUUAUCCCAUAUAUAAUUAGUAUUCAAGGAAGGUAAAUUAAGCUUUUUACAAUAUUGGACAUGACUAUCAUUUGAAUUACUUAUCCCUCAAAAAUGGCACUAUUGGCAAUUUUUCUAAAUACUUACAUAAUUUAUAAUAAUAUUAGCAGUUAUUUUGUAAGGUAAAUGGAUACUUCCAUAAUGCUUGGCUUGCUAUCUCCGUGUGGUUGAAGGGUUGAAGCCAGAUGUGAAAAGUGGCUUAUUCCGAACCUAGGGGUUUGGGAGUUGGAAGUCUAGAACGUAGAGGUGUAGG